CUUGCUGCUUCGCUGACGAGUGGCGGACGGGUGAGUAAUGUCUGGGAAACUGCCUGAUGGAGGGGGAUAACUACUGGAAACGGUGGCUAAUACCGCAUAACGUCGCAAGACCAAAGAGGGGGACCUUCGGGCCUCUUGCCAUCAGAUGUGCCCAGAUGGGAUUAGCUUGUUGGUGAGGUAACGGCUCACCAAGGCGACGAUCCCUAGCUGGUCUGAGAGGAUGACCAGCCACACUGGAACUGAGACACGGUCCAGACUCCUACGGGAGGCAGCAGUGGGGAAUAUUGCACAAUGGGCGCAAGCCUGAUGCAGCCAUGCCGCGUGUAUGAAGAAGGCCUUCGGGUUGUAAAGUACUUUCAGCGGGGAGGAAGGUGUUGUGGUUAAUAACCGCAGCAAUUGACGUUACCCGCAGAAGAAGCACCGGCUAACUCCGUGCCAGCAGCCGCGGUAAUACGGAGGGUGCAAGCGUUAAUCGGAAUUACUGGGCGUAAAGCGCACGCAGGCGGUCUGUCAAGUCGGAUGUGAAAUCCCCGGGCUCAACCUGGGAACUGCAUUCGAAACUGGCAGGCUUGAGUCUUGUAGAGGGGGGU
This 590-nucleotide ribosomal RNA is filed under the name Salmonella enterica subsp. enterica serovar Paratyphi B. RNAcentral's name for it is "bacterial SSU rRNA". It matches the Rfam family "Bacterial small subunit ribosomal RNA", at positions 79 to 662 of the family's 1533-position model. The record is from RNAcentral. Lineage: Bacteria; Pseudomonadati; Pseudomonadota; Gammaproteobacteria; Enterobacterales; Enterobacteriaceae.